RNAcentral lists this ribosomal RNA (500 nucleotides) under uncultured bacterium. RNAcentral describes it as "partial 16S ribosomal RNA". It matches the Rfam family "Bacterial small subunit ribosomal RNA", at positions 28 to 507 of the family's 1533-position model. The record is from RNAcentral.
GACGAACGCUGGCGGCGUGCCUAAUACAUGCAAGUCGUGCGGACCUUGUUGAAAGCUUGCUUUUAAAAGGUUAGCGGCGGACGGGUGAGUAACACGUGGGCAACCUGCCUGUAAGACUGGGAUAACGCCGGGAAACCGGGGCUAAUACCAGAUCGUUUUUUCCUCCGCAUGGAGGAAAAAGGAAAGGCGGCUUCGGCUGCCACUUACAGAUGGGCCCGCGGCGCAUUAGCUAGUUGGCGGGGUAAUGGCCCACCAAGGCAACGAUGCGUAGCCGACCUGAGAGGGUGAUCGGCCACAUUGGGACUGAGACACGGCCCAAACUCCUACGGGAGGCAGCAGGAGGGAAUCUUCCGCAAUGGACGAAAGUCUGACGGAGCAACGCCGCGUGAGUGAAGAAGGCCUUCGGGUCGUAAAACUCUGUUGCCGGGGAAGAACAAGUGCCGUUCGAACAGGGCGGCGCCUUGACGGUACCCGGCCAGAAAGCCACGGCUAACUACGUG